Molecule: ribosomal RNA, 446 nt
Filed under: uncultured bacterium
Lineage: Bacteria
Description: bacterial SSU rRNA
Rfam family: Bacterial small subunit ribosomal RNA
Source: RNAcentral
UCCAGACUCCUACGGGAGGCAGCAGUGGGGAAUAUUGCACAAUGGGGGGAACCCUGAUGCAGCAACGCCGCGUGGGUGAAGAAGUACUCCGGUAUGUAAAGCCCUGUCAGCAGGGAAGAAAAUGACGGUACCUGACCAAGAAGCCCCGGCUAACUACGUGCCAGCAGCCGCGGUAAUACGUAGGGGGCAAGCGUUAUCCGGAUUUACUGGGUGUAAAGGGAGCGUAGACGGCAAGGCAAGUCUGGAGUGAAAGGCGGGGGCCCAACCCCCGGACUGCUUUGGAAACUGUAUGGCUGGAGUGCAGGAGAGGUAAGUGGAAUUCCUAGUGUAGCGGUGAAAUGCGUAGAUAUUAGGAGGAACACCAGUGGCGAAGGCGGCUUACUGGGCUGUAACUGACGUUGAGGCUCGAAAGCGUGGGGAGCAAACAGGAUUAGAUACCCUAGUAU